AAACAAAUUUUCAGCUGCUUUUCUCAAUGCCAGAUGAUUCUGUUGUUCACUCAAUCUCUCCGGGUGAUGCUGUAAACACAGUCACACAGAAGAAAAAGAUGUUUUCUGUCAUACACGCUGGGGGAACACAAAGUGGGUGUGUGUUCAUGAAGAUUUUUUAAAAAGGAGAUGCCAGCAAUAUAAACACGUUAUAUACGUCAUAGGAAAUUAAAUACAAGCAGCAGUACUAACCAGCUUUUUAGGAGAACCCCAGCUCCCUCAGCCAUUCCUCAUAAGACUUAUGUUCCAGACCCUGGAAGCAAUGGAAAAACAAAAGAGAUAAAACCUCUCCUACAGAAAUAAGUCAAAACAAAUUUAUGCCCAUGCAAGCCAUAGCCAAACCACAGAUAUUUUAGUAGGGUUUUUUUCCUGCCCCAAGUAAGGGUCAGA
This is a long non-coding RNA of Passer montanus (Eurasian tree sparrow), 429 nucleotides long. RefSeq lists it as uncharacterized. The record is from RefSeq and is a predicted model, not a curated record. The transcript has 3 exons. Lineage: Eukaryota; Metazoa; Chordata; Aves; Passeriformes; Passeridae.